Molecule: ribosomal RNA, 440 nt
Filed under: uncultured bacterium
Lineage: Bacteria
Description: partial 16S ribosomal RNA
Rfam family: Bacterial small subunit ribosomal RNA
Source: RNAcentral
CCUACGGGCGGCAGCAGUGGGGGAUAUUGCACAAUGGGGGGAACCCUGAUGCAGCGACGCCGCGUGAGCGAAGAAGUACCUCGGUAUGUAACGCUCUAUCAGCAGGGAAGAAAAUGACGGUACCUGACUAAGAAGCCUCGGCUAAAUCCGUGCCAGCAGCCGAGGUACUACGUAUGGGGCAAGCGUUAUACGGCUUUACUGGGUGUAAAGGGAGCGCAGGCGGCCGGCCAAGUCUGGUGUGAACCACCGGGGCCCAACCCCGGGCCUGCAUUGGAAACUGGCGGGCUGUAGUGUCGGAGGGGCAGGCGGAACUCCUGGUGUAGCGGUGAAAGGCUUAGAUAUUAGGAGGAACACCGGUGGCGAAGGCGGCCUGCUGGACGAUGACUGACGCUGAGGCUCGAAAGCGUGGGGAGCAAACAGGAUUAGAUACCCUUGUAGUC